RNAcentral lists this long non-coding RNA (1027 nucleotides) under Laticauda laticaudata (blue-ringed sea krait). RNAcentral describes it as "lncRNA (ENSLLTG00000002693.1)". Lineage: Eukaryota; Metazoa; Chordata; Lepidosauria; Squamata; Elapidae. The record is from RNAcentral.
CCGAACCGUUGCCCGUCGGCUCCGCCCACCCGGCUGGCGAGGGGCCGGUUUUUGCGCGCGAGGCUGAGCCGGCCGCGUCGGACCUCUCCGGCCGUGGGGCUCCCGUGAGGGCGGCUUGUGCUGGGCGGCGAGCGCGUUAGAUCCUGGCCUUCUGCCGAGCUUCAGGGCGAGGCCGUGGCAAAACCGGGAUGGAAAAAUCUGAGGGCGUUGCCCGGGUAGCCGUGUUUUCCAUUUCAUUUUGCACGGUGGUGUAGGGAAAAAAAACCCUGCAAAUGUUACUUCGGGGGUGGGGGAGGUGUGCCUUCUCUGGGAAUUAAUGAAGUUUAUUCUUUACUUCUUUAUUCAAUAGAUGUUUGUGGCCGCCGAUCUGAAACGCAAACUCUGGGCGGCUCAUCACGGCAGUAAAAUCCAGCACGUUGCUGAACAAGUUGGUUGUUAUAAAUGAGGACUGCCCGUAAGAAGAAAUGAAGUCCAACACAACCAGAAGGCAGUGACCUGAAAAAGACUGAUUGAGUUACCACUGCUAGUAAGUUAAUCCUUUCCAAUAUUUUCUCAUUCAAUCAUGGCAACAUCCUUACCAUCUUCUGAGCAUUGUGAGUUUUGCAGCCCAGAUAUGGUAGCUCUAAUUAAGUUGUACUUGAAGGCAUGUUUAAUGUAAUUUAGAUGUGGGUUAUUUCAUUGCUGCUUAUUAUUAAAUAAUGAAGGGGGUCUGUUAGUCUACAGUGAUAAAAAUAGCAGGAUGCAUGGCUUGUUAGGAAAGAUGCCACCAGGGUCUUUCUGAUUAUACACAGUUUCUGACUUUUAUUUAAUGAUCUACGUGUCACGCAGAGAGUUGUAACAAUACCUUUUUUGCCUUUUUUUUAUCACUUGCCUCUUGCAUAAAAGCAAGCCUCCUCACUCUCUAAUCUUAUGCACACUGCCCACUCUCAUCCUCUCCCCUUCUUGCAUGACUGGCUUAAUGAGCACUUGGGAGAAUUAUGAAAACUGAUCUGAAAAAGUUAGCAGAAGUGAUAUUUAGCUCUUAGAG